Long non-coding RNA from Pteropus alecto (black flying fox), 1739 nucleotides. RefSeq lists it as uncharacterized. The record is from RefSeq and is a predicted model, not a curated record. NCBI's taxonomy places the organism in Eukaryota, Metazoa, Chordata, Mammalia, Chiroptera, Pteropodidae. The transcript is spliced from 5 exons.
GAAGCUGGGGUGCGGGGGAAACCGGGGGAAGAUGGGGUACAGGGGUUCAGGGAAGCUUGCGUGGGCCAAGGAUCACCUUGGAAAUCUGGAGUCUGGCAGGAGUGGCAAAGGGUGGACGGGACGGCUCGGGCUGGGCGGGCGGGAGCCUGGGAGCGUGGACGGAGUGUGGCGUGGGCUCCCAGGUGUUCUGGAAGCAGGGCGACAUCUGUGUGGAGUGUGACGGGCCCGAGCUGGGGGUACGGAAGGAAGAAGGGGGAGCCAGACAUUCAUCCCGGUCAAUUUUGGUUUCAGGACGUGGCGGCUGGUGGACAAGGGGGACUGGAGAAGGGUUCGCCCGGGCCUGGGGCAGUGGCGGAGUAGCUGGCAGCCACGGGCAAGUGGACAGCGGUCUGCCGGGCCAGGUGAGUCCCCUUCUUCUCCCGGGCCUUGCUCCCCUGGCCUUCUGCUAAAAGGAGGUUUGGGGAGCAAGGACCGGCGAGGAGAAGGGGCUCAUCUCCCGGCAGAGCGACAGGACGAAGGCAGAGCGGUCAGCACAGGUGACAUCGUCUCAGGGGGAGCUGAGACUGAGCAAGCUGGGGGGCCAUGAGCUCGUCCCAGGUGGAAAGAGCACUCUCAGAUGGCAGGGCAGGGCACGAGGCAGGGCUGCCAGUGAGGGAGGCACAGGUGGCCGCAGAAAUCCAACAUCUGCGGGGGCAUUCCAGGCCCGGGUCACACAGGAUGAGAUGGGGACUCGGGACACAGCAGGGUCCACCAGCCGCCACCACUUCCCACCCACCGCAAUUCACUUAGCAGCAGGUACAGGAGCGGCUCCAGCCGGGCCCCCCCACCGGGCCCGUGUGGAGCCUCGAGGGCAGGAGAGCGGGACAGAAGGCGCAGUGCGCGGGGCGACCCGCAGCAGGGCACCACCUGGAGGCGGCGGCGGCCUCAGGUCCUGGGCUCCAGAGAUUUCCGCAGCAAGGAGGCUGCCGUGGGCCCAGCCUGAGGAUGCGCCGCUCCCACGUGGCACUGCGGCCCAUCGGCCGUGCGGAGAAGGCGCGGCGUCCAGGUGACACCGUACGCCCUCCCCGCACGGCCGCUGGGACUGGUGUGAUAGACAGCACAGCAUCCAGGGGAGUCAAGGGCACAGGCGAGACCAGAUUAGGCGAGGCGGGCGGGGCAGAGUGAGUGAGAACUGGGGGGGGAGUUGGGCGCAGGCAGGGGUGAGGAGCUGCAAGCUGGCGGCAACGAGGCGGGGCACUGGCCUCCGGAGCCCGUGGCCAAGGCGGGCCAGCGCGGGCGGUGACGGAGCAGGGAUCGGUGCCUCUGUGCUCGGAUUAGAGACCAGCCAGGUCUCCAGUCGGGGUGGACAUGCCUGCCAGCCACUGAAGGCCGGACGCCAGGACGUGCGGAGAGGGACAUGACAUGGUCUGGCGUGACGGUGAGGACAGGGGUGACGCUGUCCGGCCUUCCCGAACACCCUCGGCUGGCACCGCGGGGCUCUGUCCUUUCGCUUUCCCGAAGGAGCCACUGCACGGCCGCUGCUCUCUGGACCUCUAGAACCCUCAAGACGACAAGAAAUGGUGCUACCCAGCUCAUGCCUGGGCCUUGGAAACCGGACUUCUUCAAGUCCUUCUAGCUCUGACUCGAGAAUAUGCUGCAUUCAGAACCACUACACCACCGACUCAGGAAUCGGCUCUGCAAGGUUAAGCGAAACGGAACAUCUGCCUGACACCGAUGCAGCGAGCAGCCCCCGCGGCAGC